RNAcentral lists this ribosomal RNA (281 nucleotides) under uncultured bacterium. Its description in RNAcentral is "partial 16S ribosomal RNA". It matches the Rfam family "Bacterial small subunit ribosomal RNA", at positions 28 to 308 of the family's 1533-position model. The record is from RNAcentral.
GAUGAACGCUAGCGGCAGGCCUAAUACAUGCAAGUCGAGGGGCAGCGGGUUCAGCAAUGAAUGCCGGCGACCGGCGCACGGGUGCGUAACGCGUAUGCAACCUACCUUUUACUGGGGAAUAGCCCGGAGAAAUUCGGAUUAAUACCCCAUAAUAUCAUAUGAGAGCAUUUGAGUAUGAUUAAAGAUUUAUCGGUAAAGAUGGGCAUGCGUGACAUUAGCAGUUGGUGAGGUAAUGGCUCACCAAGGCGACGAUGUCUAGGGGAUCUGAGAGGACCUACCCC